This 429-nucleotide ribosomal RNA is filed under the name bacterium. RNAcentral describes it as "partial 16S ribosomal RNA". It matches the Rfam family "Bacterial small subunit ribosomal RNA", at positions 355 to 776 of the family's 1533-position model. The record is from RNAcentral.
UAGGGAAUCUUCGGCAAUGGGGGCAACCCUGACCGAGCAACGCCGCGUGAGUGAAGAAGGUUUUCGGAUCGUAAAGCUCUGUUGUAAGAGAAGAACGAGUGUGAGAGUGGAAAGUUCACACAGUGACGGUAACUUACCAGAAAGGGACGGCUAACUACGUGCCAGCAGCCGCGGUAAUACGUAGGUCCCGAGCGUUGUCCGGCUUUAUUGGGCGUAAAGCGAGCGCAGGCGGUUUAAUAAGUCUGAAGUUAAAGGCAGUGGCUUAACCAUUGUUCGCUUUGGAAACUGUUAAACUUGAGUGCAGAAGGGGAGAGUGGAAUUCCAUGUGUAGCGGUGAAAUGCGUAGAUAUAUGGGGGAGCACCGGUGGAGAAAGCGGCUCUCUGGUCUGUAACUGACGCUGAGGCUCGAAAGCGUGGGGAGCAAACAGG